CCUACGGGUGGCAGCAGUGGGGAAUAUUGGACAAUGGGCGAAAGCCUGAUCCAGCCAUGCCGCGUGUGUGAAGAAGGCCUUCGGGUUGUAAAGCACUUUCAGUGGGGAAGAAAGCCUUGGGGCUAAUACCCUCGAGGAAGGACAUCACCCACAGAAGAAGCACCGGCUAACUCCGUGCCAGCAGCCGCGGUAAUACGGAGGGUGCGAGCGUUAAUCGGAAUUACUGGGCGUAAAGCGCGCGUAGGCGGUCUGAUAAGCCGGUUGUGAAAGCCCCGGGCUCAACCUGGGAACGGCAUCCGGAACUGUCAGGCUAGAGUGCAGGAGAGGAAGGUAGAAUUCCCGGUGUAGCGGUGAAAUGCGUAGAGAUCGGGAGGAAUACCAGUGGCGAAGGCGGCCUUCUGGACUGACACUGACGCUGAGGUGCGAAAGCGUGGGUAGCAAACAGGAUUAGCUACCCUUGUAGUC
This 465-nucleotide ribosomal RNA is filed under the name Vreelandella stevensii. RNAcentral describes it as "partial 16S ribosomal RNA". It matches the Rfam family "Bacterial small subunit ribosomal RNA", at positions 338 to 795 of the family's 1533-position model. The record is from RNAcentral. Lineage: Bacteria; Pseudomonadati; Pseudomonadota; Gammaproteobacteria; Oceanospirillales; Halomonadaceae.